Myotis brandtii (Brandt's bat) is the source of this 597-nucleotide long non-coding RNA. RefSeq lists it as uncharacterized. The record is from RefSeq and is a predicted model, not a curated record. Lineage: Eukaryota; Metazoa; Chordata; Mammalia; Chiroptera; Vespertilionidae. The transcript is spliced from 3 exons.
GGAGCGUUGAACAUAUCGUGACAAGUAGUUUCCGCGCGCUGGAGAGCGUGUGAAUUGCGCCUAAUUACCGUGUCCGGUGGCGCCUCUACGUAGCCCUGUGUAACCCCUCAGCUUCUGGGGUGCGGGCUCUGCCGCGCCGCUCUCCCUGGCCCGGGCGCGAGGCAAGACCCACUUUCCCAAGUGGCCCUGGCGGCCCGGGGCGAAAUGGGGGCAGGUGACAUUUCAAUUACCGCGACCGGGGCGGGGUUGCAACGCGCGCGGAGAAGGUGCCAAGACUCUUUUCCAGCUUCCUUCCGGCUGUUUCCGCGUCCCCAAGCCGACGCAUUUGGGGUAGUCAGGAGCCUGUUUUGAUUUUUUCUGCUGCAGCCUUUAAAGCGCAAAUUGUUUAAAAUGUUCUGAUACGAUAAGGCCUCACUCACAAAGAUCCUCUUGGAAGCCGGACGCGCACCCGUGUGUCCAUCCUUCGGCCCAGAGACAAGGUCGCCGCAGCCCCCAGGAGUAGUUUUAACUUCCGACUCACUCUCCGGGCCUUACGUCAGGGCCCUGCGUUGCAGCUCAGUCUGCAGAGAGUAAUGAAAAUUCGCUUCAUUAGCCAGA